This 550-nucleotide ribosomal RNA is filed under the name uncultured bacterium. RNAcentral describes it as "bacterial SSU rRNA". It matches the Rfam family "Bacterial small subunit ribosomal RNA", at positions 94 to 640 of the family's 1533-position model. The record is from RNAcentral.
AGCGGCGGACGGGUGAGUAAUGCCUGGGAAAUUGCCCUGAUGUGGGGGAUAACCAUUGGAAACGAUGGCUAAUACCGCAUAAUAGCUUCGGCUCAAAGAGGGGGACCUUCGGGCCUCUCGCGUCAGGAUAUGCCCAGGUGGGAUUAGCUAGUCGGUGAGGUAAUGGCUCACCAAGGCGACGAUCUCUAGCUGGUCUGAGAGGAUGAUCAGCCACACUGGAACUGAGACACGGUCCAGACUCCUACGGGAGGCAGCAGUGGGGAAUAUUGCACAAUGGGCGCAAGCCUGAUGCAGCCAUGCCGCGUGUAUGAAGAAGGCCUUCGGGUUGUAAAGUACUUUCAGCAGUGAGGAAGGUGGGUAUGUUAAUAGCAUAUUCAUUUGACGUUAGCUGCAGAAGAAGCACCGGCUAACUCCGUGCCAGCAGCCGCGGUAAUACGGAGGGUGCGAGCGUUAAUCGGAAUUACUGGGCGUAAAGCGCAUGCAGGUGGUUUGUUAAGUCAGAUGUGAAAGCCCGGGGCUCAACCUCGGAAUUGCAUUUGAAACUGGCAAA